UUAGGAAUUUUGCGCAAUGGGGGAAACCCUGACGCAGCAACGCCGCGUGGGUGAAGAAGGCCUUCGGGUUGUAAAGCCCUUUUAGCAGGGACGACACAAGGACGGUACCUGCAGAAAAAGCACCGGCUAACUCCGUGCCAGCAGCCGCGGUAAUACGGAGGGUGCAAGCGUUAUUCGGAUUGACUGGGCGUAAAGCGCGCGUAGGCGGUUUGUUAAGUCUGGUGUGAAAUCCCUGGGCUCAAUCCAGGAAGCGCACUGGAUACUGGCAAACUAGAGUAUAGGAGGGGAGAACGGAAUUCCUGGUGUAGAGGUGAAAUUCGUAGAUAUCAGGAGGAACAACAGUGGCGAAGGCGGUUCUCUGGACUAUAACUGACGCUGAGGCGCGAAAGCGUGGGGAGCA
RNAcentral lists this ribosomal RNA (400 nucleotides) under uncultured bacterium. RNAcentral's name for it is "bacterial SSU rRNA". It matches the Rfam family "Bacterial small subunit ribosomal RNA", at positions 355 to 770 of the family's 1533-position model. The record is from RNAcentral.